CCUACGGAGUGCAGCAGUGAGGAAUAUUGGUCAAUGGGCGCGAGCCUGAACCAGCCAAGUAGCGUGAAGGAUGACUGCCCUACGGGUUGUAAACUUCUUUUAUAAAGGAAUAAAGUGAGUCACGUGUGCCUUUUUGUAUGUACUUUAUGAAUAAGGCUCGGCUAACUACGUGCCAGCAGCCGCGGUACUACGGAGGAUCCGAGCGUUAUCCGGAUUUUUUGGGUUUAAAGGGAGCGUAGAGGGGUUGUUAAGUCAGUUGUGAAAGUUUGCGGUUCAACCGUAAAAUUGCAAUUGAUACUGGCAGUCUUGAGUACAGUUGAGGUAGGCGGAAUUCGUGGUGUAGCGGUGAAAUGCUUAGAUAGCACGAAGAACUCCGAUUGCGAAGGCAGCUUACUAAACUGCCACUGACAUUGAUGCUCGAAAGUGUGGGUAUCAAACAGGAUUAGAUACCCCAGUAGUC
This 460-nucleotide ribosomal RNA is filed under the name uncultured bacterium. Its description in RNAcentral is "partial 16S ribosomal RNA". It matches the Rfam family "Bacterial small subunit ribosomal RNA", at positions 338 to 795 of the family's 1533-position model. The record is from RNAcentral.